This 337-nucleotide unclassified non-coding RNA is filed under the name soil metagenome. RNAcentral's name for it is "partial contains 5.8S ribosomal RNA, internal transcribed spacer 2, and large subunit ribosomal RNA". The stretch from base 1 to 120 matches the Rfam family "5.8S ribosomal RNA", at positions 35 to 154 of the family's 154-position model. The record is from RNAcentral.
GAUGAAGAACGUAGCGAAAUGCGAUAAGUAGUGUGAAUUGCAGAAUUCAGUGAAUCAUCGAAUCUUUGAACGCACAUUGCGCCCCAUGGUAUUCCGUGGGGCAUGCCUGUUCGAGCGUCAUUUACCCCCUCAAGCUCCGCUUGGUGUUGGGCGUCUGUCCCGCUUCGCGCGCGGACUCGCCCCAAAGGUAUUGGCAGAGGUCGUGCCAGCUUCUCGCGCAGCACAUUGCGCUUCUCGAGGCACCGGUGGGCCCGCGUCCAUCAAGCUCACCCCCCCAGUUUGACCUCGGAUCAGGUAGGGAUACCCGCUGAACUUAAGCAUAUCAAUAAGCGGAGGA